RNAcentral lists this non-coding RNA (25 nucleotides) under Cricetulus griseus (Chinese hamster). The record is from RNAcentral. Lineage: Eukaryota; Metazoa; Chordata; Mammalia; Rodentia; Cricetidae.
ACUGAAUCGGGGUUCUCUGCAAAAG